This is a long non-coding RNA of Micropterus salmoides (largemouth bass), 601 nucleotides long. RefSeq lists it as uncharacterized. The transcript has 3 exons. The record is from RefSeq and is a predicted model, not a curated record. Lineage: Eukaryota; Metazoa; Chordata; Actinopteri; Centrarchiformes; Centrarchidae.
ACCCACCACUACAAUUCCUCCUUCAACCACCUCUCCUCCUGGUUCCUCCUCUACUUCUCCCUCUGUAUUGUGGUUGGCCGCUCUAUCUUUCUGUGUUCUGGUUUCUGGUUCUUCUGGUUCUACUGGUGAGACGAUGCCUCCACAGGAAACCUAAAGCCGCUGAAGAAGAAGCUGGGGAUGAUGACAUCACAGACCUACAGCAGCCAAUCAGACGCAGCAAAGAGUGUUUUUCCGUUGCAGUCUACUCAGCAGUGAGAGGAACUGGUGACGUCAGUUAUGAACAAAUAGGCGACUGACCACACAGGACGAGAGCUGCUCUUUCUUUAUGAACUUUGGACAGAGCUAGGCUAGCUGUUUCCCCCUGCUUCCAGUCUUUAUGCUAAGCUAAGCUAAGCACAACCUGACUCCAGAUCAAUCUUUCCAAAACACUGAACUGUUCCUUUAAAGAGAUGUUGAUAAUUGGAAGGUCAGACGUACUAAACAUGAGGAUCUCUAAACCCUUCAUGUAUCUCAUGUAAUGCAGGGGAUUUGUGUUGAAGGGUUAUUUCUUUUGUUUAUCUGCAAGAGUCCAGGAACAGAGUUUAGCGUGUGGAAAAUACGG